This is a non-coding RNA of Amborella trichopoda, 46 nucleotides long. Lineage: Eukaryota; Viridiplantae; Streptophyta; Magnoliopsida; Amborellales; Amborellaceae. The record is from Rfam.
GUAUAGGUCUUUUUAGAGACCACAAAUAGUCCACUUUGACCUCUUU